CCAAAAAUUUGGUUGAGGUUUUGCUUGCCCAUGGGUUGGCCAACAUUGGCUAGAAAAAUGAACUAGAGUUGGCAAUUGAGUGUUGGCUUGCCAAAUAAUUGGCCUUCAUCCAAACAAGAAUCAAAUUUUGGUCAAUGACCAAAAAAUUGGUAGUGCAAUGUUUGGCCACCAUCCAAACAGACCCUAUACUCCUUGUACUCCUGCUAGGAGAUGAGAAAGAAUCAGGAGAAGACGG
Molecule: long non-coding RNA, 235 nt
Filed under: Brachypodium distachyon (stiff brome)
Lineage: Eukaryota; Viridiplantae; Streptophyta; Magnoliopsida; Poales; Poaceae
Description: long non-coding RNA (BDIS_LNC000877)
Source: RNAcentral